RNAcentral lists this ribosomal RNA (485 nucleotides) under uncultured Gammaproteobacteria bacterium. RNAcentral's name for it is "bacterial SSU rRNA". It matches the Rfam family "Bacterial small subunit ribosomal RNA", at positions 397 to 871 of the family's 1533-position model. The record is from RNAcentral. Lineage: Bacteria; Pseudomonadati; Pseudomonadota; Gammaproteobacteria.
CCGCGUGUGUGAAGAANNNCUUCGGGUUGUAAAGCACUUUCAGCGAGGAAGAACGCCUAGUGGUUAAUACCCAUUAGGAAAGACAUCACUCGCAGAAGAAGCACCGGCUAACUCCGUGCCAGCAGCCGCGGUAAUACGGAGGGUGCAAGCGUUAAUCGGAAUUACUGGGCGUAAAGCGCGGCGUAGGUGGCUUGAUAAGCCGGUUGUGAAAGCCCCGGGCUCAACCUGGGAACGGCAUCCGGAACUGUCAAGCUAGAGUGCAGAGAGAGGAAGGUAGAAUUCCCGGUGUAGCGGUGAAAUGCGUAGAGAUCGGGAGGAAUACCAGUGGCGAAGGCGGCCUUCUGGACUGACACUGACACUGCAGGUGCGAAAGCGUGGGUAGCAAACAGGAUUAGAUACCCUGGUAGUCCACGCCGUAAACGAUGUCGACCAGCCGUUGGGUGCCUAUGCGCACUUUUGGCGAAGUUAACGCGAUAAGUCGACCG